ACCAUCAUCCACGUGAACAACUCUAAUCCAAUGACAUUCGGACACGUGGCCAAAAUCUACUAGUCAGGAUCAUAUCGUCCGAUAUAGAAUUAUCUUCCUGAAAUGACAUCCGACAAAGAUGUCUGAUAUCGAAUUAUCCUAUCGACAUGACAGCUUAAUAAUAAUUUUGCAGCCAUCAAAAUGACAAAACAGUCGGAAAAUUCUCAACUAGCAAUCA
This 217-nucleotide long non-coding RNA is filed under the name Elaeis guineensis (African oil palm). RNAcentral describes it as "long non-coding RNA (EGUI_LNC074539)". Lineage: Eukaryota; Viridiplantae; Streptophyta; Magnoliopsida; Arecales; Arecaceae. The record is from RNAcentral.